This 254-nucleotide ribosomal RNA is filed under the name uncultured bacterium. RNAcentral's name for it is "partial 16S ribosomal RNA". It matches the Rfam family "Bacterial small subunit ribosomal RNA", at positions 524 to 776 of the family's 1533-position model. The record is from RNAcentral.
UACGGGGGGAGCAAGCGUUGUUCGGAUUUACUGGGCGUAAAGGGCGCGUAGGCGGCCAGCACAAGUCAGUUGUGAAAUCUCCGAGCUUAACUCGGAAAGGUCAACUGAUACUGUGCGGCUAGAGUGCAGAAGGGGCAACUGGAAUUCUCGGUGUAGCGGUGAAAUGCGAAGAUAUCGAGAGGAACACCUGCGGCGAAGGCGGGUUGCUGGGCUGACACUGACGCUGAUGCGCGAAAGCUAGGGGAGCGAACGGG